RNAcentral lists this ribosomal RNA (446 nucleotides) under uncultured bacterium. RNAcentral's name for it is "bacterial SSU rRNA". It matches the Rfam family "Bacterial small subunit ribosomal RNA", at positions 28 to 466 of the family's 1533-position model. The record is from RNAcentral.
GAUGAACGCUGGCGGCGCGCCUAAUACAUGCAAGUCGAGCGAGAAGACGUAGCAAUACGUUUGUAAAGCGGCGAACGGGUGAGGAAUACAUGGGUAACCUACCCUCGAGUGGGGAAUAACUAGCCGAAAGGUUAGCUAAUACCGCGUACGCUUCUUGGACUUCGGUUCAGGGAGGAAAGCGAUACCGUGGGUAUCGCGCUCUUGGAUGGGCUCAUGUCCUAUCAGCUUGUUGGNGAGGUAACGGCUCACCAAGGCUUCGACGGGUAGCUGGUCUGAGAGGACGAUCAGCCACACUGGCACUGCGACACGGGCCAGACUCCUACGGGAGGCAGCAGUAAGGAAUAUUGCGCAAUGGGCGAAAGCCUGACGCAGCGACGCCGCGUGGGGGAUGAAGGUCUUCGGAUUGUAAACCCCUUUCGGGAGGGAAGAUGGAAUGGGGUAACCCA